Molecule: long non-coding RNA, 299 nt
Organism: Magallana angulata
Lineage: Eukaryota; Metazoa; Mollusca; Bivalvia; Ostreida; Ostreidae
Exons: 3
Source: RefSeq, a predicted model, not a curated record
AUAUCAUCCGUAUGCAUCGAAAUAUUGUGGCUUGUUAUCAUCCAAACAUUGUGUGAAGUCGUUGUUGUAUAUAUCGACUUUUUACUGGAUAACUGAAAGAUAAUAUCAAUAUGACAGUAACAAAUUCCGCUAUUUACAUCGAGGCACAAGUAGUAAUGGACUAUAUCACUCCUGGCCUUGAUGAAAAAUCCACAUCAGCGACAGCAAAACAGAAAAACCCAGCUGACUACCAGGAGGCACAAGUAGUAGUGAAUGUUCUCUCAUCUGAUUUUGAUAAAAAAUCAACAACAACAACAAAA